RNAcentral lists this ribosomal RNA (253 nucleotides) under uncultured bacterium. RNAcentral describes it as "partial 16S ribosomal RNA". It matches the Rfam family "Bacterial small subunit ribosomal RNA", at positions 524 to 776 of the family's 1533-position model. The record is from RNAcentral.
UACGGGGGGGGUAAGCGUUGUUCGGAAUUACUGGGCGUAAAGGGCUCGUAGGCGGCCAACUAAGUCAGACGUGAAAUCCCUCAGCUUAACUGGGGAACUGCGUCUGAUACUGGAUGGCUUGGAUCCGGGAGAGGGAUGCGGAAUUCCAGGUGUAGCGGUGAAAUGCGUAGAUAUCUGGAGGAAUACCGGUGGCGAAGGCGGCAUCCUGGACCGAGAUUGACACUGAUGAGCGAAAGCUAGGGGAGCAAACGGG